This 762-nucleotide ribosomal RNA is filed under the name uncultured Bacillus sp. RNAcentral describes it as "bacterial SSU rRNA". It matches the Rfam family "Bacterial small subunit ribosomal RNA", at positions 28 to 770 of the family's 1533-position model. The record is from RNAcentral. Lineage: Bacteria; Bacillati; Bacillota; Bacilli; Caryophanales; Bacillaceae.
GACGAACGCUGGCGGCGUGCCUAAUACAUGCAAGUCGAGCGGACCGACGGGAGCUUGCUCCCUUAGGUCAGCGGCGGACGGGUGAGUAACACGUGGGUAACCUGCCUGUAAGACUGGGAUAACUCCGGGAAACCGGGGCUAAUACCGGAUGCUUGAUUGAACCGCAUGGUUCCAAUCAUAAAAGGUGGCUUUCAGCUACCACUUACUGAUGGACCCGCGGCGCAUUAGCUAGUUGGUGAGGUAACGGCUCACCAAGGCGACGAUGCGUAGCCGACCUGAGAGGGUGAUCGGCCACACUGGGACUGAGACACGGCCCAGACUCCUACGGGAGGCAGCAGUAGGGAAUCUUCCGCAAUGGACGAAAGUCUGACGGAGCAACGCCGCGUGAGUGAUGAAGGUUUUCGGAUCGUAAAACUCUGUUGUUAGGGAAGAACAAGUACCGUUCGAAUAGGGCGGCACCUUGACGGUACCUAACCAGAAAGCCACGGCUAACUACGUGCCAGCAGCCGCGGUAAUACGUAGGUGGCAAGCGUUGUCCGGAAUUAUUGGGCGUAAAGCGCGCGCAGGCGGUUUCUUAAGUCUGAUGUGAAAGCCCCCGGCUCAACCGGGGAGGGUCAUUGGAAACUGGGGAACUUGAGUGCAGAAGAGGAGAGUGGAAUUCCACGUGUAGCGGUGAAAUGCGUAGAGAUGUGGAGGAACACCAGUGGCGAAGGCGACUCUCUGGUCUGUAACUGACGCUGAGGCGCGAAAGCGUGGGGAGCG